GGGGCUGUAGCUCAGUGGCAGAUUGCUUGCCUAGCAUGUGUGAGGCACUGAGAUCGAUCCUCAGCACCACA
This 71-nucleotide transfer RNA is filed under the name Marmota monax (woodchuck). Its description in RNAcentral is "tRNA.Ala". Lineage: Eukaryota; Metazoa; Chordata; Mammalia; Rodentia; Sciuridae. The record is from RNAcentral.